Long non-coding RNA from Rhinopithecus roxellana (golden snub-nosed monkey), 795 nucleotides. Lineage: Eukaryota; Metazoa; Chordata; Mammalia; Primates; Cercopithecidae. The record is from Ensembl.
CCGUGCCCCACCCUGACUUGUUUAUUUACUUGUUUUGUAAACAUUAUUUACUGAGCAUGAUCAAACUGCUUGACUGGAGAGGCUGCUGCAAGUCUCCUCCCUCUGCCCCCAGCCACUCCGCACUACCCGUCCUUGCUGGUGUCUGGAAUCAGCGGGGCCCUGGCCGAGUGCACAGGAAAGGAAAUGGCUCAUUGCUUCAGCCUUUAGACCCGAGGGCAGGGAGGGCCUGUCGGGCGGCCGCCUAGUCAGGGGUGUGUCAGAGGCCACAGGGGCCCGGGCCCAGCAGCUGAGGCUUGGUAAGCUCUGAAGCCUGGGCUCCAGGCCAGCUUGCUGCUAACCUCCACCUGAGACCACCCCACCCCCAACCCCCUUCCUUCUCUCUCCUGCUGCGGAGGCGCGCCCUUCCGGAAUGAAACUUGGUUUGGUUUCUCACGACCCAGAAGGCUUGAAGCAAACCUGCAAUUACUCACCGCCUGGUCUGUGCCGGCUGCAGCUCUCAGACUCAGGAUGAGAUGGCGUCUCUCCUCCACGAUGGCUGCCCUCAUCUGCUCAUCCUCACUUGGCCUUCAGCAGUGCUCAGCUGACAUAGAUGAGGGAAUAGGAGUGACUCGUCAUCACAGUCGCCGUGUACUCGAGACAAACGCUCAGGGGGAUGCCAGUUCCCAUAGGACUCACAGCGGGAGACACAGCGGAGCGUCCAGUGCUUCCUCGGCUAGCCGUGUCCCACGAUGGCAGGUCAUUUGCGGACACCGUCUGCACCUCCUUUAUCAGUUGUGUUACUGCUCUGGGUUGAAU